UGUGCAGCGAGCUUGCAGAGAAUUCUGGAAAAUCAAGUGUCCGCCGCAAGGGUCAAUCUUACAACUGAGACAGCAAUUGUAUGGCCUGUUUCUGAAGCCAAGGCUAUGCCUAAUUGGCAAAAGGAGUUGGGGAUAAACACUUGCAAAUCACUCAGACAAAUUGUGGCUUAAGCCUAACCACAAGUAUCUGCCACCAGCGUCAAUCUGACAACCAGGAUAGCAGUUGUAUGGCCAGUAUCUGAAGCCAAGGAUGGCAAAAAGUGUUGGGAGAAACACUUGCAGCAAACUUGACAAAUUUUGCCUUCAUGUCUAACCCUCGACAUAAGUAGUUUUAUUCACCAUCUGCUUGUUGCAUCUGAACGAGGUUUGGCUGACAUUUGUGAAUAUCAUUGCCACAUAUAACGUACAUUUUAUCACAGAUUUUCUUUGUUGAUGACUCCAUCUAAAAGUUGGAAGUACAAUCUCUUACAUCUGUAAUUUUCCGUCAUAUAAUACAAACUAC
Eucalyptus grandis is the source of this 502-nucleotide long non-coding RNA. RefSeq lists it as uncharacterized. The record is from RefSeq and is a predicted model, not a curated record. The transcript is spliced from 3 exons. NCBI's taxonomy places the organism in Eukaryota, Viridiplantae, Streptophyta, Magnoliopsida, Myrtales, Myrtaceae.